RNAcentral lists this ribosomal RNA (1608 nucleotides) under Laceyella sediminis. RNAcentral describes it as "bacterial LSU rRNA". It matches the Rfam family "Bacterial large subunit ribosomal RNA", at positions 1265 to 2864 of the family's 2925-position model. The record is from RNAcentral. Lineage: Bacteria; Bacillati; Bacillota; Bacilli; Caryophanales; Thermoactinomycetaceae.
GAGAAGUGGUGGAGCGCUUGGAAGUGAGAAUGCCGGUAUGAGUAGCGAAAAGAGGGGUGAGAAUCCCCUCCACCGUAAGCCUAAGGUUUCCUGAGGAAGGUUCGUCCGCUCAGGGUUAGUCGGGACCUAAGCUGAGGCCGAAAGGCGUAGGCGAUGGACAACAGGUUGAUAUUCCUGUACCACCUAUUUUCGUUUGUACGAUGGGGGGACGCAGGAGGGUAGGGAAUCGCGCGACUGGAAGUGCGCGUCCAAGCAGUGAGGCCGAAAGGAUAGGCAAAUCCGUCCUUUCUAUAGGCUAGGCUGUGAUGGCGAGGGAAAUCAUCAGUACCGAAGUUCCUGAUCUCACACUGCCAAGAAAAGCCUCUAGGAGAAAAUAGGUGCCCGUACCGCAAACCGACACAGGUAGGCGAGGAGAGAAUCCUAAGGUGCUCGGGAAAACUCUCGUUAAGGAACUCGGCAAAAUGACCCCGUAACUUCGGGAGAAGGGGUGCCCCGGUAGGGUGAAAGCCCGAGGGGGCCGCAGUGAAGAGGUCCAGGCGACUGUUUAGCAAAAACACAGGUCUCUGCUAAGCCGCAAGGCGAUGUAUAGGGGCUGACGCCUGCCCGGUGCUGGAAGGUUAAGGGGAAGGGUUAGCGCAAGCGAAGCUCUGAACCGAAGCCCCAGUAAACGGCGGCCGUAACUAUAACGGUCCUAAGGUAGCGAAAUUCCUUGUCGGGUAAGUUCCGACCCGCACGAAAGGCGUAACGAUCUGGACGCUGUCUCAACGAGAGACCCGGUGAAAUUGUACUGCCAGUGAAGAUGCUGGCUACCCGCGACAAGACGGAAAGACCCCGUGGAGCUUUACUGUAGCCUGAUAUUGAAUCUAGGUACGACUUGUACAGGAUAGGUGGGAGUCUGAGAAGCCGGAGCGCCAGCUUCGGUGGAGACGCCGGUGGGAUACCACUCUGGUCGUAUCGGGGUUCUAACUCGCCGCCGUCAUCCGGCGGGAGGACCGUGUCAGGUGGGCAGUUUGACUGGGGCGGUCGCCUCCUAAAAAGUAACGGAGGCGCUCUAAGGUUCCCUCAGCGCGGUCGGAAAUCGCGCUCCAGAGUGCAAAGGCAGAAGGGAGCUUGACUGCGAGACCUACAAGUCGAGCAGGGACGAAAGUCGGACUUAGUGAUCCGGUGGUUCCGAGUGGAAGGGCCAUCGCUCAACGGAUAAAAGCUACCCCGGGGAUAACAGGCUUAUCUCCCCCAAGAGUCCACAUCGACGGGGAGGUUUGGCACCUCGAUGUCGGCUCAUCGCAUCCUGGGGCUGUAGUAGGUCCCAAGGGUUGGGCUGUUCGCCCAUUAAAGCGGUACGCGAGCUGGGUUCAGAACGUCGUGAGACAGUUCGGUCCCUAUCUGUCGUGGGCGUAGGAAAUUUGAGAGGAGCUGUCCUUAGUACGAGAGGACCGGGAUGGACGCACCUCUGGUGUACCAGUUGUUCCGCCAGGAGCACCGCUGGGUAGCCAAGUGCGGACGGGAUAAGCGCUGAAAGCAUCUAAGCGCGAAGCCCCCCUCAAGAUGAGAUUUCCCAUUCCCCUGUGGAAGUAAGACCCCUUGUAGAUGACGAGGUUGAUCGGUCCG